AACGAACGCUGGCGGCAUGCCUAACACAUGCAAGUCGAACGAGACCUUCGGGUCUAGUGGCGCACGGGUGCGUAACGCGUGGGAACCUGCCUUAGGUUCGGAAUAACAGUGAGAAAUUACUGCUAAUACCGGAUGAAAGCGGGGGAUCGCAAGACCUCGCGCGAUUGGAGCGGCCGAUGUCAGAUUAGCUAGUUGGUGGGGUAAAGGCCCACCAAGGCGACGAUCUGUAGCUGGUCUGAGAGGACGACCAGCCACACUGGGACUGAGACACGGCCCAGACUCCUACGGGAGGCAGCAGUGGGGAAUUUUGGACAAUGGGCGCAAGCCUGAUCCAGCAAUGCCGCGUGCAGGAAGAAGGCCUUCGGGUUGUAAACUGCUUUUGUACGGAACGAAAAAGUCCGGGUUAAUACCCUGGGCCCAUGACGGUACCGUAAGAAUAAGCACCGGCUAACUACGUG
RNAcentral lists this ribosomal RNA (458 nucleotides) under uncultured bacterium. RNAcentral's name for it is "bacterial SSU rRNA". It matches the Rfam family "Bacterial small subunit ribosomal RNA", at positions 29 to 507 of the family's 1533-position model. The record is from RNAcentral.